CGGGGUGCAGCAGGCGCGAAAACUUUACAAUGCUGGCAACAGCGAUAAGGGGACCUCGAGUGCCAGGAUACAAUCUUGGCUGUCGCGAUGCCUAAAAAGCAUUGCAUAGCAAGGGCCGGGCAAGACCGGUGCCAGCCGCCGCGGUAACACCGGCGGCUCGAGUGGUAACCGCUAUUAUUGGGUCUAAAGGGUCUGUAGCCGGCCGGAUAAGUCUUUUGGGAAAUCCAGCUGCUCAACAGUUGGGCUUUCAGAAGAUACUGUUCGGCUCGAGACCGGGAGAGGUGAGAGGUACUUCAGGGGUAGGGGUGAAAUCUUGUAAUCCUUGAAGGACCACCAGUGGCGAAGGCGUCUCACCAGAACGGAUCUGACGGCAAGGGACGAAAGCUAGGGGCACGAACCGGAUUAGAUACCCGGGUAGUCCUAGCCGUAAACGAUACUCGCUAGGUGUCAGCCACGGUGCGACCGUGGUUGGUGCCGUAGGGAAGCCGUGAAGCGAGCCACCUGGGAAGUACGGCCGCAAGGCGUGAAACUUAAAGGAAUUGGCGGGGGA
RNAcentral lists this ribosomal RNA (550 nucleotides) under uncultured archaeon. RNAcentral describes it as "bacterial SSU rRNA". It matches the Rfam family "Archaeal small subunit ribosomal RNA", at positions 326 to 875 of the family's 1478-position model. The record is from RNAcentral.